This 312-nucleotide long non-coding RNA is filed under the name Homo sapiens (human). RNAcentral describes it as "HSALNT0184975". Lineage: Eukaryota; Metazoa; Chordata; Mammalia; Primates; Hominidae. The record is from RNAcentral.
CCUUCUCCUGGGCUCCCUCCUGGCCCUCCACCAAGCGGCAACAUCUCCCAGGACAAAGGACACAGGUUUCUGAGGGAAGAGAGAAAGAGAAAGGAAGAAGUGGAAAGUGCGGAACCCCAAUGAGUAGGGCACAGAAAGGAGGGCGAGCAGAGACAGCAAGAGGUCAGAUCAGGACAGCAAGGUUCCAGGAGGAUGAGACAGAGGUUCCACGUCUCCAGGCAAGCAGAGGAAUCACAGCACACUGGGAUUACGGAAGUUAUGUCCGGCAAAGCGAGCUUCAUCCCCCAGCUCUUCCUCAAUUCUGAGAGAGAU